RNAcentral lists this ribosomal RNA (484 nucleotides) under uncultured bacterium. RNAcentral describes it as "partial 16S ribosomal RNA". It matches the Rfam family "Bacterial small subunit ribosomal RNA", at positions 29 to 507 of the family's 1533-position model. The record is from RNAcentral.
AUUGAACGCUGGCGGCAUGCUUUACACAUGCAAGUCGAACGGCAGCGCGGGCUUCGGCCUGGCGGCGAGUGGCGAACGGGUGAGUAAUACAUCGGAACGUGCCCAGUAGUGGGGGAUAGCUCGGCGAAAGCCGGAUUAAUACCGCUUACGACCUGAGGGUGAAAGCGGGGGAUCUUCGGACCUCGCGCUAUUGGAGCGGCCGAUGGCAGAUUAGCUAGUUGGUGGGGUAAAGGCCUACCAAGGCGACGAUCUGUAGCUGGUCUGAGAGGACGACCAGCCACACUGGGACUGAGACACGGCCCAGACUCCUACGGGAGGCAGCAGUGGGGAAUUUUGGACAAUGGGCGAAAGCCUGAUCCAGCAAUGCCGCGUGUGUGAUGAAGGCCUUCGGGUUGUAAAGCACUUUUGGCGGGAACGAAAAGGACUGUGCCAAUACCACGGUUCGAUGACGGUACCCGCAGAAUAAGCACCGGCUAACUACGUG